This 792-nucleotide ribosomal RNA is filed under the name Salmonella enterica subsp. enterica serovar Bovismorbificans. RNAcentral's name for it is "partial 23S ribosomal RNA". It matches the Rfam family "Bacterial large subunit ribosomal RNA", at positions 532 to 1328 of the family's 2925-position model. Lineage: Bacteria; Pseudomonadati; Pseudomonadota; Gammaproteobacteria; Enterobacterales; Enterobacteriaceae. The record is from RNAcentral.
AACGGAGCGAAAGCGACGUUCAACCUCAAAAGAAGCAGAGGGGGCUUAGUGGUGGGGUGACUGCGUACCUUUUGUAUAAUGGGUCAGCGACUUAUAUUCUGUAGCAAGGUUAACCGAAUAGGGGAGCCGGAGGGAAACCGAGUCUUAAUUGGGCGUUAAGUUGCAGGGUAUAGACCCGAAACCCGGUGAUCUAGCCAUGGGCAGGUUGAAGGUUGGGUAACACUAACUGGAGGACCGAACCGACUAAUGUUGAAAAAUUAGCGGAUGACCUGUGGCUGGGGGUGAAAGGCCAAUCAAACCGGGAGAUAGCUGGUUCUCCCCGAAAGCUAUUUAGGUAGCGCCUCGUGAAUUCAUCUCCGGGGGUAGAGCACUGUUUCGGCUAGGGGGCCAUCCCGGCUUACCAACCCGAUGCAAACUGCGAAUACCGGAGAAUGUUAUCACGGGAGACACACGGCGGGUGCUAACGUCCGUCGUGAAGAGGGAAACAACCCAGACCGCCAGCUAAGGUCCCAAAGUCAUGGUUAAGUGGGAAACGAUGUGGGAAGGCCCAGACAGCCAGGAUGUUGGCUUAGAAGCAGCCAUCAUUUAAAGAAAGCGUAAUAGCUCACUGGUCGAGUCGGCCUGCGCGGAAGAUGUAACGGGGCUAAACCAUGCACCGAAGCUGCGGCAGCGACGUUUAUGCGUUGUUGGGUAGGGGAGCGUUCUGUAAGCCUGCGAAGGUGGCCUGUGAGGGUUGCUGGAGGUAUCAGAAGUGCGAAUGCUGACAUAAGUAACGAUAAAGCGGGUGAAAAG